This is a long non-coding RNA of Dioscorea cayenensis subsp. rotundata (Guinea yam), 471 nucleotides long. RefSeq lists it as uncharacterized. The transcript is spliced from 3 exons. Lineage: Eukaryota; Viridiplantae; Streptophyta; Magnoliopsida; Dioscoreales; Dioscoreaceae. The record is from RefSeq and is a predicted model, not a curated record.
AAAUGUUCAUCUUCAUAUUUCCCUUGCUGCUAAACCUAAUGGCCAAAUCUGAUCAUCUUUUCUCUUGGUCAUCCAGCAAAUUGGUCAUCGGAAUAUCAGAUUAAAGAAAGAUCUUUGGUUCCAAGGGAAUAUACAUAGCUAGUAUGGAUUCGAAUUCACAAGCAGGCCGUAGAGUACAAAGCAAACACUAUUGGACAACAGAUGAGGAUAAGGCACUUAUUGAUGCCUUAGUGGAGCUAUCAACAAAUCCAAUGUGGCGGACGGAGAAUGGAUUUCGCAAUGGCUACGUCGUUUAAUUAGAAAGAAUGAUAAAAGAAAAACUUCCACAAAGCAUGAUAAAAGCUUCACCUAAUAUCGAGUCUAGGGUGAAGCUCUUAAGGAAACAGAUAACUGCAAUAAGUGAUAUCUUACAAAUUAGUGGGUUCGUUUGGAACUAUGAAAAGUGCACUAUUGAGUGUGAGAAAAGCGCAU